This 491-nucleotide ribosomal RNA is filed under the name uncultured bacterium. RNAcentral describes it as "partial 16S ribosomal RNA". It matches the Rfam family "Bacterial small subunit ribosomal RNA", at positions 28 to 507 of the family's 1533-position model. The record is from RNAcentral.
GAUGAACGCUAGCUACAGGCUUAACACAUGCAAGUCGAGGGGAAACGAUGAGAGAGCUUGCUCUCUUAGUCGUCGACCGGCGCACGGGUGAGUAACGCGUAUCCAACCUGCCUCUGACCAAGGGAUAACCCGUCGAAAGUCGGACUAAUACCUUAUGCAGUCGUCGGAAGUCAUCUGAUGACGACGAAAGAUUUCAUCGGUGAGAGAUGGGGAUGCGUCUGAUUAGCUUGUUGGCGGGGUAACGGCCCACCAAGGCGACGAUCAGUAGGGGUUCUGAGAGGAAGGUCCCCCACAUGGGAACUGAGACACGGUCCAAACUCCUACGGGAGGCAGCAGUGAGGAAUAUUGGUCAAUGGGCGUAAGCCUGAACCAGCCAAGUAGCGUGCAGGAUGACGGCCCUAUGGGUUGUAAACUGCUUUUAUGCGGGGAUAAAGUGAGGGACGUGUCCUUCAUUGCAGGUACCGCAUGAAUAAGGACCGGCUAAUUCCGUG